CAGCCUUAGUGUCACUUCCUGUAUUUAGGACUACUGCUUCCUGGUUAAAUCCUUUUGCCCAGUUCUGGCCUGGCAGUGGGAUGUGCUCACCACAGAGAGAACCAGUGUACCUCCAACAAACACUACACAAACCAAAAGUAUAUACUGGGAAUAUUUGACUGAGAGUCAUUAACAACAACUUGGAUCUUAUGCUACCUUCAUUUUAUGAAGCCCUGGAUGUUUUUGCCCAGUGAUCCCCUCUGCAACCUGAGGGGAGAGCGGCCACUGCUUCCCUGCUGACUGACAGACCUCCACAGUGAUGCCUGGAGCUUGGCUGCAGCAGAAGAGGACCCAUGACCAUUCUCUUAUGCAACAGCUUCUUUAAUCACUAAACCGCCCUGCUGGCACGUGUAUCUGUACCUGAACAUCUCAGAGGGUUCCACAGUGGCCAGCCAGAAGCUGUAGGAG
Long non-coding RNA from Lates calcarifer (barramundi perch), 447 nucleotides. RefSeq lists it as uncharacterized. Lineage: Eukaryota; Metazoa; Chordata; Actinopteri; Centropomidae. The transcript is spliced from 4 exons. The record is from RefSeq and is a predicted model, not a curated record.